UCUGCGGUGCCACGUGUAGCGGUAACAUGCGGGCUUCUAACAUCUGACUCAUUAUGAUAUGAUAGUGUUGAGCCUGAGCCCGGGGUUCGACUCCUCGCCAAGGAA
Mycena galericulata is the source of this 105-nucleotide non-coding RNA. The record is from the annotation of a GenBank genome assembly. Lineage: Eukaryota; Fungi; Basidiomycota; Agaricomycetes; Agaricales; Mycenaceae.